GUGAGUAACACGUGGGUAACCUGCCCAUCAGAGGGGGAUAACAUCCGGAAACGGAUGCUAAAACCGCAUAGGUCUUCGAGCCGCAUGGCUUGAAGAGGAAAAGAGGCGCAAGCUUCUGCUGAUGGAUGACCCGCGGUGCAUUAGCUAGUUGGUGAGGUAACGGCUCACCAAGGCCGUGAUGCAAUUAGCCGACCUGAGAGGGUGAUCGGCCACAUUGGGACUGAGACACGGCCCAAACUCCUACGGGAGGCAGCAGUAGGGAAUCUUCCGCAAUGGACGCAAGUCUGACGGAGCAACGCCGCGUGAGUGAAGAAGGUUUUCGGAUCGUAAAACUCUGUUGUUAGAGAAGAACAAGUGCUAGAGUAACUGUUAGCACCUUGACGGUAUCUAACCAAGAAAGCCACGGCUUAACUACGUGCCAGCAGCCGCGGUAAUACGUAGGUGGCAAGCGUUGUCCGGAUUUAUUGGGCGUAAAGCGAGCGCAGGCGGUUCCUUAAGUCUGAUGUGAAAGCCCCCGGCUCAACCGGGGAGGGUCAUUGGAAACUGGGGAACUUGAGUGCAGAAGAGGAGAGUGGAAUUCCAUGUGUAGCGGUGAAAUGCGUAGAUAUAUGGAGGACACCAGUGGCGAAGGCGACUCUCUGGUCUGUA
Molecule: ribosomal RNA, 648 nt
Filed under: uncultured Bacilli bacterium
Lineage: Bacteria; Bacillati; Bacillota; Bacilli
Description: bacterial SSU rRNA
Rfam family: Bacterial small subunit ribosomal RNA
Source: RNAcentral